Molecule: ribosomal RNA, 320 nt
Filed under: uncultured Entrophospora
Lineage: Eukaryota; Fungi; Glomeromycota; Glomeromycetes; Entrophosporales; Entrophosporaceae
Description: SSU rRNA
Rfam family: Eukaryotic small subunit ribosomal RNA
Source: RNAcentral
AGCAGCCGCGGUAAUUCCAGCUCCAAUAGCGUAUAUUAAAGUUGUUGCAGUUAAAAAGCUCGUAGUUGAAUUUCGGGAUUGACGUGACGGUCGUGCCUUAAGGGGUAUGAACUGUUACAGUCAAUUUCUCACCUUCUGGAGAAAUAUGAUGUCCUUAAUUGGGUGUCAUAUGGAACCAGAACUUUUACCUUGAAAAAAUUAGAGUGUUUAAAGCAAGCUUAUUGCUCGAAUACAUUAGCAUGGAAUAAUAAAAUAGGACGGCAUGGUUCUAUUUUGUUGGUUUCUAGGAUCACCGUAAUGAUUAAUAGGGAUAGUUGGGG